RNAcentral lists this small RNA (78 nucleotides) under Roseomonas mucosa. RNAcentral's name for it is "Makes More Granules Regulator RNA (mmgR)". It matches the Rfam family "Makes More Granules Regulator RNA (mmgR)". Rfam says of the family: SuhB later renamed mmgR (makes more granules regulator) was a putative non-coding RNA found multiple times in the Agrobacterium tumefaciens genome and related alpha-proteobacteria. Other non-coding RNAs uncovered in the same analysis include: speF, ybhL, metA, and serC. Lineage: Bacteria; Pseudomonadati; Pseudomonadota; Alphaproteobacteria; Acetobacterales; Roseomonadaceae. The record is from Rfam by way of RNAcentral.
UCUUCCUGCCGUGUGACUGGCGUUUCCUCCCUAAACUUCGGGCCGUGCCUCCUGGCGCGGCCCUUUCUUUUUGUCGCU